GAUGAACGCUAGCGGCAGGCUUAAUACAUGCAAGUCGAGGGGCAGCAUGGUUGUAGCAAUACAACUGAUGGCGACCGGCAAACGGGUGCGGAACACGUACGCAAUCUACCCAAAACUGAUGAAUAGCCCUCCGAAAGGAGGAUUAAUACAUCGUAACAUAAAUUGAAUGGCAUCAUUUAAUUAUUAUAGCUCCGGCGGUUUUGGAUGAGCGUGCGCCNGAUUAGGUAGUUGGCGGGGUAACGGCCCACCAAGCCUGCGAUCAGUAACUGGUNUGAGAGCACGACCAGUCACACGGGCACUGAGACACGGGCCCGACUCCUACGGGAGCAGCAGUAAGGAAUAUUGGUUAAUGGACGCAAGUCUGAGCCAGCCAUGCCGCGUGAAGGAUG
Molecule: ribosomal RNA, 389 nt
Filed under: uncultured bacterium
Lineage: Bacteria
Description: bacterial SSU rRNA
Rfam family: Bacterial small subunit ribosomal RNA
Source: RNAcentral